RNAcentral lists this small nucleolar RNA (118 nucleotides) under Echinops telfairi (small Madagascar hedgehog). RNAcentral's name for it is "Small nucleolar RNA SNORA61 (ENSETEG00000024387.1)". Lineage: Eukaryota; Metazoa; Chordata; Mammalia; Afrosoricida; Tenrecidae. The record is from RNAcentral.
ACCCCUCAAGUCUCAUCCCUAGAAUCUAAACUCGGGUCUGAGUGGUUAUAAAAGGAGGAAAAGUAAAACUGAACCUGACUUAAAUGCUCUUGUGCUACACAGCUAGUUUCAAACAAAA